GUAGGUGGCAAGCGUUGUCCGGGAAUUAUUGGGGGCGUAAAGCGCGCGCAGGCGGUUCUUUAAGUCUGAUGUGAAAGCCCACGGGCUCAACCGUGGAGGGUCAUUGGAAACUGGAGAACUUGAGUACAGAAGAGGAAAGCGGAAUUCCACGUGUAGCGGUGAAAUGCGUAGAGAUGUGGAGGAACACCAGUGGCGAAGGCGGCUUUCUGGUCUGUAACUGACGCUGAGGCGCGAAAGCGUGGGGAGCAAACAGGAUUAGAUACCCUGGUAGUCCACGCCGUAAACGAUGAGUGCUAAGUGUUAGGGGGUUUCCGCCCCUUAGUGCUGCAGCUAACGCAAUAAGCACUCCGCCUGGGGAGUACGGCCGCAAAGGCUGA
RNAcentral lists this ribosomal RNA (377 nucleotides) under uncultured organism. RNAcentral describes it as "partial 16S ribosomal RNA". It matches the Rfam family "Bacterial small subunit ribosomal RNA", at positions 527 to 897 of the family's 1533-position model. The record is from RNAcentral.